AGCAGUGUGGUAUGGUGGUGUGCAGACACAGGCAACCCACUUCAACCUGAUGGCGCAUGAGACCUUCCCCUUCAGACUGGGGUUCAACUGGAGUCUGUAUUUGGGUGGAGGGACUUCUGGGGCCACCAUCCUUUUAGCCUACAAACUGGAUGGAAAGAUGCAACGCUGCACAUAGCUUUUAUUUCCACAACCUGCAGAGCUCCUGAGGAGGAUGUUUUCCUUCCUUGCCCAGGAUCCAGCCAGCACUGGUGUCAGCCAGUGCACUCAGCCUGCACAGCCAGCAGAGCGAUGUACAAGGGCACUGCUUCAUCUGCUGCAUUGUUACGCUAGAUAGCUUAUUGCUCAUGUGAACUGGAAAGGAAAAGAGCAGAAAUAGUGCAACAGGGGACAAUAUGAAUUAAGGAUGAAGAACAAGACGGAUUAUUGUUGAAGCAUGCUGGUCAUCAUGAGGGGUAUCCUGGCUUAGGGCAUUUCCAGAGCACAUAGUUGAGGGUUUGUGUGAGUCAUCAACCUUGUAACAAGCUGCUGAAGAAACUUCUUAUUUAGGGGCCAGUAUUUGUUGUGUA
Long non-coding RNA from Neopsephotus bourkii (Bourke's parrot), 566 nucleotides. RefSeq lists it as uncharacterized. The transcript has 4 exons. NCBI's taxonomy places the organism in Eukaryota, Metazoa, Chordata, Aves, Psittaciformes, Psittacidae. The record is from RefSeq and is a predicted model, not a curated record.